Molecule: ribosomal RNA, 469 nt
Filed under: fungal endophyte
Lineage: Eukaryota; Fungi
Description: eukaryotic LSU rRNA
Rfam family: 5.8S ribosomal RNA (bases 148-301)
Source: RNAcentral
CCUCCACCCGUGUUUAUUAUACCUUGUUGCUUCGGCGGGCCCGCCGUCAGGCCGCCGGGGGGCUUCUGCCCCCGGGCACGCGCCCGCCGAAGACAUCUCGAACUCUGUCUGAAGAUUGUAGUCUGAGUAUAAAUAUAAAUUAUUUAAAACUUUCAACAACGGAUCUCUUGGUUCCGGCAUCGAUGAAAAACGCAGCGAAAUGCGAUACGUAAUGUGAAUUGCAGAAUUCAGUGAAUCAUCGAGUCUUUGAACGCACAUUGCGCCCUCUGGUAUUCCGGAGGGCAUGCCUGUCCGAGCGUCAUUGCUGCCCUCAAGCACGGCUUGUGUGUUGGGCCCCGUCCUCCGAUCCGGGGGACGGGCCCGAAAGGCAGCGGCGGCACCGCGUCCGGUCCUCGAGCGUAUGGGGCUUUGUCACCCGCUCUGUAGGCCCGGCCGGCGCUUGCCGAUCAACCAAAUUUUUAUCCAGGUU